RNAcentral lists this ribosomal RNA (330 nucleotides) under uncultured Actinomycetes bacterium. Its description in RNAcentral is "bacterial SSU rRNA". It matches the Rfam family "Bacterial small subunit ribosomal RNA", at positions 28 to 351 of the family's 1533-position model. Lineage: Bacteria; Bacillati; Actinomycetota; Actinomycetes. The record is from RNAcentral.
GACGAACGCUGGCGGCGUGCUUAACACAUGCAAGUGGAGCGACGAACCGGGCUUCGGCCCGGGGCAAAGCCGCGAACGGGUGAGUAUCACGUGGGUAACCUGCCCCGAUGACCGGGAUAACCCGAGGAAACUCGAGCUAAUACCGGAUGUGUUCUCCGUGCAUCAGCGCGGAAAGCAAAGGAAGCUUCGGCCUCCGCUUCGGGAUGGGCCCGCGGCCCAUUAGCUUGUUGGUGAGGUAAAGGCUCACCAAGGCAACGAUGGGUAGCUGGUCUGAGAGGACGAUCAGCCACACUGGGACUGAGACACGGCCCAGACUCCUACGGGAGGCUG